This 483-nucleotide ribosomal RNA is filed under the name uncultured bacterium. RNAcentral describes it as "partial 16S ribosomal RNA". It matches the Rfam family "Bacterial small subunit ribosomal RNA", at positions 30 to 506 of the family's 1533-position model. The record is from RNAcentral.
AUUGAACGCUGGCGGCAGGCCUAACACAUGCAAGUCGAGCGGAUGAAGGGAGCUUGCUCCUGGAUUCAGCGGCGGACGGGUGAGUAAUGCCUAGGAAUCUGCCUGGUAGUGGGGGAUAACGUCCGGAAACGGGCGCUAAUACCGCAUACGUCCUGAGGGAGAAAGUGGGGGAUCUUCGGACCUCACGCUAUCAGAUGAGCCUAGGUCGGAUUAGCUAGUUGGUGGGGUAAAGGCCUACCAAGGCGACGAUCCGUAACUGGUCUGAGAGGAUGAUCAGUCAAACGGGAACUGAGACAGGGUCCAGACCCCUACGGGGGGCAGCAGGGGGGAAUUUUGGAAAAGGGGCGAAAGCCUUACCCAGCCAUGCCGGGGGGGUGAAGAAGGUUUUCGGAUUUUAAAGCCUUUUAAGUUGGGAGGAAGGGCAGGAAGUUAAUACCUUGCUGUUUGGACGUUACCAAAAGAAAAAGCCCCGGCUAAUUUCGU